This is a long non-coding RNA of Oncorhynchus tshawytscha (Chinook salmon), 1082 nucleotides long. The record is from Ensembl. Lineage: Eukaryota; Metazoa; Chordata; Actinopteri; Salmoniformes; Salmonidae.
UUUUAUUUGCAUUUGUUGUUAUGAGAUAUGGCAAAAACAUUUGGCAUUGAAUGGGGAAACAUAAUCCAUCAAAUUAUAAACAUAUUGAUGUUACAAAAAUGGACUAAUCUGGGCACUGGUUUGUCUCUUAACAAAUCGCUGUGUCACAAAUCUCGACUGGGUCGUGCCAUGGGUAUCAGCCCCAUGCCUGAUGAUGUUCCUGCUGAUUGUGAUGAAUGUUAUCUGCUCUUCCAAGAAUGCUGGGCCAUUAUGGGAGGCCAUUAUGGGAGGCGUAACCUACGAGCGGCGGUAAUAAACAGAAUCUCUCUCGGCUGUGCGGAGGUAUACAGUCUGGCACUCAGGCCAACAGCACACACAUCGCCUCACGCCUCACAGUUGCCCCAGAGACACUGUUUGGCUGUUCACUCAUUUGUUUAUGGGCUUUUGAUCGAUGCGUCCAUCCAGAUCCUCUUAAUCAGUUUCUGAUCUGGUUUCUCCCUGGCUCUCUCCAAGAAGACAAUCACAUUCAGAGAUUCAGAGUGUUUAAUAGUCACGGGUUCAGGGGUUUCAGGUGUGAUUGCAGGCUACAGUGAAAAUCUUCAGCUCCACAUUAGUCAUUAGUCAGUUAUUCAGGCUCCACAUUAGUCAGUUACAGAGACCAGGAGCAGAGCUGUCUGUUGGUGUUGGGUAAAGGCCCAGUACAGAGACCAGGAGCAGAGCUGUCUGUUGGUGUUGGGUAAAGGCCCAUUACAGAGACCAGGAGCAGAGCUGUCUGUUGGUGUUGGGUAAAGGCCCAGUUACAGAGAACACGAGCAGAGCUGUCUGUUGGUGUUGGGUAAAGGCCCAGUUACAGAGAACACGAGCAGUGCUGUCUGUUGGUGUUGGGUAAAGGCUGUUAAAUAAAGGUUAAAUAAAAGCAAUUUAAAAAAAUAAAUUUAAAAGCCCAGUACAGAGGAGAUCCAGCUCAUAAUCAACCCUCUCCAGAGACUCAGAGUCCAGCAUAAUAUGUUUAAAAGUAUUGCUUGGUUGUAAGUACAGACGAUGCUAAAGGGUAUGUGUACAGUGUGACCUGUUUGGCCAUGCCACCAGCCCAGCGCCUCAUC